Molecule: ribosomal RNA, 252 nt
Filed under: uncultured bacterium
Lineage: Bacteria
Description: partial 16S ribosomal RNA
Rfam family: Bacterial small subunit ribosomal RNA
Source: RNAcentral
UACGGAGGAUGCGAGCGUUAUCCGGAUUUAUUGGGUUUAAAGGGUGCGUAGGCGGGAUGCCAAGUCAGCGGUAAAAAUUCGGGGCUCAACCCCGUCCGGCCGUUGAAACUGGGGGCCUUGAGUGGGCGAGAAGAAGGCGGAAUGCGUGGUGUAGCGGUGAAAUGCAUAGAUAUCACGCAGAACCCCGAUUGCGAAGGCAGCCUUCCGGCGCCCUACUGACGCUGAGGCACGAAAGUGCGGGGAUCGAACAGG